GUGCCAGCCGCCGCGGUAAUACGUAGGUGUCGAGCGUUGUCCGGAUUUAUUGGGCGUAAAGAGCCCGCAGGCGGCUUGGUAAGUUCGAGGUGAAAUCUCCCGGCUUAACUGGGAGGGUGCCUCGAAAACUACCAGGCUUGAGGCAUGGAGAGGGAUGCAGAAUUCCAGGUGUAGCGGUGAAAUGCGUAGAUAUCUGGAGGAAUACCAGUGGCGAAGGCGGCAUCCUGGCCAUGUCCUGACGCUCAGGGGCGAAAGCGUGGGGAGCAAACCGGAUUAGAUACCCGCGUAGUCC
Molecule: ribosomal RNA, 292 nt
Filed under: uncultured bacterium
Lineage: Bacteria
Description: partial 16S ribosomal RNA
Rfam family: Bacterial small subunit ribosomal RNA
Source: RNAcentral